AACGAACGCUGGCGGCAGGCCUAACACAUGCAAGUCGAACGCCCUAGCAAUAGGGAGUGGCAGACGGGUGAGUAACACGUGGGAACCUUCCCUAUAGUACGGAAUAGCUCAGGGAAACUUGAAGUAAUACCGUAUACGCCCGAGAGGGGAAAGAUUUAUCGCUAUAGGAUGGGCCCGCGUCGGAUUAGCUAGUUGGUGAGGUAAUGGCUCACCAAGGCGACGAUCCGUAGCUGGUUUGAGAGAACGACCAGCCACACUGGGACUGAGACACGGCCCAGACUCCUACGGGAGGCAGCAGUGGGGAAUAUUGGACAAUGGGCGCAAGCCUGAUCCAGCCAUGCCGCGUGAGUGAUGAAGGCCUUAGGGUUGUAAAGCUCUUUUAGCAGGGAAGAUAAUGACUGUACCUGCAGAAUAAGCUCCGGCUAACUUCGUGCCAGCAGCCGCGGUAAU
This 450-nucleotide ribosomal RNA is filed under the name uncultured bacterium. Its description in RNAcentral is "bacterial SSU rRNA". It matches the Rfam family "Bacterial small subunit ribosomal RNA", at positions 29 to 524 of the family's 1533-position model. The record is from RNAcentral.